Molecule: ribosomal RNA, 421 nt
Filed under: Adenomera diptyx group sp. ABGD cluster 12
Lineage: Eukaryota; Metazoa; Chordata; Amphibia; Anura; Leptodactylidae
Description: partial large subunit ribosomal RNA
Rfam family: Bacterial large subunit ribosomal RNA
Source: RNAcentral
CUUGUCUAACAUAAGAGGUCCAGCCUGCCCAGUGACAUUGUUCAACGGCCGCGGUAUCCUAACCGUGCGAAGGUAGCGUAAUCACUUGUUCUUUAAAUGAGGACUAGUAUGAAAGGCAUCACGAGAGUCAUACUGUCUCCUUUCUCUAAUCAGUGAAACUAAUCUCCCCGUGAAGAAGCGAGGAUAAAAAUAUAAGACGAGAAGACCCUAUGGAGCUUAAAACAAAUAACAUUUGCCUUUCUAACUUCAAAUUUCAGAAAAAUUUCUUAUCUCGGCAUUAUAAUUAUUAGUUUUUGGUUGGGGUGACCACGGAACAAAAAACAACUUCCGCAAUGAAAGACACUCCUUAACUAAGUCAAGGACUACGACCCUACACAUCAACAAAUUGACAUUUAUUGACCCAACAUGUUGAUCAAUGGAC